RNAcentral lists this ribosomal RNA (467 nucleotides) under uncultured bacterium. RNAcentral's name for it is "partial 16S ribosomal RNA". It matches the Rfam family "Bacterial small subunit ribosomal RNA", at positions 28 to 507 of the family's 1533-position model. The record is from RNAcentral.
GACGAACGCUGGCGGCGUGCUUAACACAUGCAAGUCGAACGGAAAGGCCCUGCUUUUGUGGGGUGCUCGAGUGGCGAACGGGUGAGUAACACGUGAGUAACCUGCCCUUGACUUUGGGAUAACUUCAGGAAACUGGGGCUAAUACCGGAUAGGAGCUCCUGCUGCAUGGUGGGGGUUGGAAAGUUUCGGCGGUUGGGGAUGGACUCGCGGUUUAUCAGCUUGUUGGUGGGGUAGUGGCUUACCAAGGCUUUGACGGGUAGCCGGCCUGAGAGGGUGACCGGCCACAUUGGACCUGGGAUACGGCCCAGACUCCUACGGGAGGCAGCAGUGGGAAUAUUGCACAAUGGGCGGAAGCCUGAUGCAGCAACGCCGCGUGCGGGAUGACGGCCUUCGGGUUGUAAACCGCUUUCGCCUGUGACAAAGCGUGAGUGACGGUAAUGGGUAAAGAAGCACCGGCUAACUACGUG